Molecule: ribosomal RNA, 530 nt
Filed under: Sphingomonas yabuuchiae
Lineage: Bacteria; Pseudomonadati; Pseudomonadota; Alphaproteobacteria; Sphingomonadales; Sphingomonadaceae
Description: bacterial SSU rRNA
Rfam family: Bacterial small subunit ribosomal RNA
Source: RNAcentral
UUCGGGGUUUAGUGGCGCACGGGUGCGUAACGCGUGGGAAUCUGCCCUUUGGUUCGGAAUAACAGCUGGAAACGGCUGCUAAUACCGGAUGAUGACGAAAGUCCAAAGAUUUAUCGCCAGAGGAUGAGCCCGCGUUGGAUUAGGUAGUUGGUGGGGUAAAGGCCUACCAAGCCGACGAUCCAUAGCUGGUCUGAGAGGAUGAUCAGCCACACUGGGACUGAGACACGGCCCAGACUCCUACGGGAGGCAGCAGUGGGGAAUAUUGGACAAUGGGCGAAAGCCUGAUCCAGCAAUGCCGCGUGAGUGAUGAAGGCCCUAGGGUUGUAAAGCUCUUUUACCCGGGAAGAUAAUGACUGUACCGGGAGAAUAAGCCCCGGCUAACUCCGUGCCAGCAGCCGCGGUAAUACGGAGGGGGCUAGCGUUGUUCGGAAUUACUGGGCGUAAAGCGCACGUAGGCGGCUUUGUAAGUCAGAGGUGAAAGCCUGGAGCUCAACUCCAGAACUGUCUUUGAGACUGCAUCGCUUGAAUCC